This 112-nucleotide non-coding RNA is filed under the name Paramaledivibacter caminithermalis. RNAcentral describes it as "Clostridium caminithermale Glycine sequence". It matches the Rfam family "Glycine riboswitch aptamer". From Rfam's summary of the family: This family represents the bacterial glycine riboswitch. Glycine riboswitches usually consist of two metabolite-binding aptamers domains with similar structures in tandem. Lineage: Bacteria; Bacillati; Bacillota; Clostridia; Peptostreptococcales; Caminicellaceae. RNAcentral also lists the same sequence under 1 other name. The record is from RNAcentral.
AUGAAGGGUUUGGGAGAGAGUCAAUCUAUAUUGGGGAUGGACCGCCGAAGGUAUAAGCUAUGAUUAAAUAAGUUAUAGUGAAGUUCUCAGGCUAAAGGACCAUAUCUGGACA